UGCUCAGUAACGGCGAGUGAAGCGGCAAGAGCUCAAAUUUGAAAGCUGGCUCCUUCGGGGUCCGCAUUGUAAUUUGCAGAGGAUGCUUCGGGUGCAGCCCCCGUCUAAGUGCCCUGGAACGGGCCGUCAUAGAGGGUGAGAAUCCCGUAUGGGGCGGGGUGUCUGCGUCCGUGUGAAGCUCCUUCGACGAGUCGAGUUGUUUGGGAAUGCAGCUCUAAAUGGGUGGUAAAUUUCAUCUAAAGCUAAAUACUGGCCGGAGACCGAUAGCGCACAAGUAGAGUGAUCGAAAGAUGAAAAGCACUUUGAAAAGAGAGUUAAACAGCACGUGAAAUUGUUGAAAGGGAAGCGCUUGAACCAGACUCGCUCGCGGGGUUCAGCCGGGCUUCGGCCCGGUGUACUUCCCCGUGGGCGGGCCAGCGUCGGUUUGGGCGGCCGGUCAAAGGCCUCCGGAAUGUAGCGCCCUUC
RNAcentral lists this ribosomal RNA (465 nucleotides) under Aspergillus allahabadii. Its description in RNAcentral is "LSU rRNA". It matches the Rfam family "Eukaryotic large subunit ribosomal RNA", at positions 76 to 547 of the family's 3401-position model. The record is from RNAcentral. Lineage: Eukaryota; Fungi; Ascomycota; Eurotiomycetes; Eurotiales; Aspergillaceae.